AAAUUGAAGAGUUUGAUCAUGGCUCAGAUUGAACGCUGGCGGCAGGCCUAACACAUGCAAGUCGAACGGUAACAGGAAACAGCUUGCUGUUUCGCUGACGAGUGGCGGACGGGUGAGUAAUGUCUGGGAAACUGCCUGAUGGAGGGGGAUAACUACUGGAAACGGUAGCUAAUACCGCAUAACGUCGCAAGACCAAAGAGGGGGACCCUCGGGCCUCUUGCCAUCGGAUGUGCCCAGAUGGGAUUAGCUUGUUGGUGGGGUAACGGCUCACCAAGGCGACGAUCCCUAGCUGGUCUGAGAGGAUGACCAGCCACACUGGAACUGAGACACGGUCCAGACUCCUACGGGAGGCAGCAGUGGGGAAUAUUGCACAAUGGGCGCAAGCCUGAUGCAGCCAUGCCGCGUGUAUGAAGAAGGCCUUCGGGUUGUAAAGUACUUUCAGCGGGGAGGAAGGGAGUAAAGUUAAUACCUUUGCUCAUUGACGUUACCCGCAGAAGAAGCACCGGCUAACUCCGUGCCAGCAGCCGCGGUAAUACGGAGGGUGCAAGCGUUAAUCGGAAUUACUGGGCGUAAAGCGCACGCAGGCGGUUUGUUAAGUCAGAUGUGAAAUCCCCGGGCUCAACCUGGGAACUGCAUCUGAUACUGGCAAGCUUGAGUCUCGUAGAGGGGGGUAGAAUUCCAGGUGUAGCGGUGAAAUGCGUAGAGAUCUGGAGGAAUACCGGUGGCGAAGGCGGCCCCCUGGACGAAGACUGACGCUCAGGUGCGAAAGCGUGGGGAGCAAACAGGAUUAGAUACCCUGGUAGUCCACGCCGUAAACGAUGUCGACUUGGAGGUUGUGCCCUUGAGGCGUGGCUUCCGGAGCUAACGCGUUAAGUCGACCGCCUGGGGAGUACGGCCGCAAGGUUAAAACUCAAAUGAAUUGACGGGGGCCCGCACAAGCGGUGGAGCAUGUGGUUUAAUUCGAUGCAACGCGAAGAACCUUACCUGGUCUUGACAUCCACGGAAGUUUUCAGAGAUGAGAAUGUGCCUUCGGGAACCGUGAGACAGGUGCUGCAUGGCUGUCGUCAGCUCGUGUUGUGAAAUGUUGGGUUAAGUCCCGCAACGAGCGCAACCCUUAUCCUUUGUUGCCAGCGGUCCGGCCGGGAACUCAAAGGAGACUGCCAGUGAUAAACUGGAGGAAGGUGGGGAUGACGUCAAGUCAUCAUGGCCCUUACGACCAGGGCUACACACGUGCUACAAUGGCGCAUACAAAGAGAAGCGACCUCGCGAGAGCAAGCGGACCUCAUAAAGUGCGUCGUAGUCCGGAUUGGAGUCUGCAACUCGACUCCAUGAAGUCGGAAUCGCUAGUAAUCGUGGAUCAGAAUGCCACGGUGAAUACGUUCCCGGGCCUUGUACACACCG
RNAcentral lists this ribosomal RNA (1401 nucleotides) under Escherichia coli. RNAcentral's name for it is "bacterial SSU rRNA". It matches the Rfam family "Bacterial small subunit ribosomal RNA". The record is from RNAcentral. Lineage: Bacteria; Pseudomonadati; Pseudomonadota; Gammaproteobacteria; Enterobacterales; Enterobacteriaceae.